Pan troglodytes (chimpanzee) is the source of this 3001-nucleotide long non-coding RNA. RefSeq lists it as uncharacterized. Lineage: Eukaryota; Metazoa; Chordata; Mammalia; Primates; Hominidae. The transcript is spliced from 7 exons. The record is from RefSeq and is a predicted model, not a curated record.
ACACAAUGCCCUCACCAGAAGCAACCAGAGGCAGACCCUCGACCUUGGACUUCCCAGCAUCCAGAACUCAUAAGAUUUACCUUUAUUUUUUAAUAUUGGAGAACUUGCCAUGUAAAUCCUAACAUGUGGAUGAACUAAAUACCUGGGGAGUUCAUCAUCUCUCACAAACUAAAUCCAGAGAAAAAACUUCCUGACACAAGAAAAAAUUGCAGUUAAAUGGAAAAUAAAUAAAGCAAAUGAAAAUUGGAAUGUGGAGCAUUUUGCAUGCCAGAUAAGAAAGGGCAUGUGACAAAGGAGAGCCAUUUCUUCCAUUUGAGAUUGGAGGGGGAAGAGUCCAAGGCUAGAAUCAUGUGGCUGACCAGGCUCCUGGGACUUCCACAUCUGCACAAUGGAUCAUGCAAAGGUCUGCAGCUUCACUCCUGAGCCAGCGAGACCACGAACCUACCAGAAGGAAGAAACUCCGAACACAUCCCAACAUCAGAAGGAACAAACUCCAGACGCGCCACCUUAAGAGCUGUAACACUCACCGCGAGGGUCCGCUGCUUCAUUCUUGAAGUCAGUGAGACCAAGAACCCACCAAUUCCGGACACACUAUCCUGGGGGAGCAGCCUGGCCCUAAAAGAGACUUGUGCGUGACCCCAGGAGACCCACUGACAUGGAUCAGGAAACUGCUUUAGAAUCCCAGGAACAGGGCUACGACCAAACUCCGUACUCUCCCAUUUGCCUGUCAUGUGUCAGCAUCUCUGUAUUGUCACUGGUGUAUUAAAAAUCUUGGCCUAAACAAAACAAACAAACAAAAAUGAAAUCCUGCUGUUUACCUAGUUUAGCUGCAAGGACCAGAAAACUCAAAAUAACAGUGGCCUAAACAAGAUAGACAUGCAUUUCUAUCUUACCUAAAUGAAAUCAGUAGGUGUAAAAAGUCCACAACUGCUGUUACGGCAGUCUCAAAAAGUCCUCAAGGGUCUAGACUCAGCCUCCCUCUUCCCUCUUUGCCAUCACUGGAGUGGUCCAUGUUCCAGUCCACAAAGUGGGGAAAGAAAAAGGACAUGGUUUUCUCUUAGAAAAGGUGUGAGAAGCUGCGAAACAUUUCUGUUUACAUCUCAUUGGCCAGAAUGCAGUCACAAGAUCAAAAUCAUACCUAGCCACAGGGAAGCUGGAAAAACCUAGUCUCUCAGACGAAGGAGUGUCUUCGAGGGAAUGACAAACUGUAUCUGUCUACCAUGCUUGAAAUGCAAGAGUCCCGUCAGCUAGGGUUCAUUCUUGGGAACCACUUCAACUUGUCUUCUUCAGAGAAGCACUUCAGUGGGACCAGAGAGAACACUGCGCAUCCCAGGAUCGCAGCCACUGGACUCCAGCAACUCGAGGAAGAGGCAGCCAUUGAUACCAGACCUAGAAUUCACUAAAGGUCAAUGCCUUCAGGAAUUUUCAUCUGAUUUGAUGAUUGAUGCCCUCCGCAUCAUGAGCCCAGGAAGACUCCCAUGCCAUGUUCCAGCUGAGGCACCCAACAGCAAUGAUGUUUUGUGAAAAUAGUGUGUGAUUUGGAUGCAAAUGAUCCUGGGUUCAAGACUUGCUUCUGUAAAGAAGAGAAUACCACACUCUCCUCUCCCAGUCACGUGGGGAGUUAAUCGAAACCCACGGAAAGUGCAUUGCAUAAGGACAAGAAGUCCAAUGUCCAGUGUAAGAUAUUUCCCUUAAAUUCCAGCUUUAUUUCUGACUUGCUCUAAGGCACUGGCUCAAGCUCUUAACUUCUAUAUUUCAGUUUUUCACUGGUGGGUAUUGCUUGCCUGGCUUGCAAGAAUGCUUGAGAAAUUCUGGCUCUAAGAGCAUGGGGCACUUUAAAAGUACAAAGUAUCAUUAUAUUUAUGAUUACAACUUGCUUGACAGUUUCAUAGUGCUAUAAUAUAGGAAAUAUGUAUUUCAAAAUAAUAACAGAAAUUGUACUGUUUUGGGAAUGGGUAUUCUGAGAUCCAGCAAGAGUUAGAAUGCCUUUAAAAACACUGCAAAUCUUCAAGUGCCAAGUUAAAACUCAAAUUCAGGGACCAUUCACAUCUCACAAUAAAACAGAGAAGACUCUCAAGAAUGGUAUAUGCUUAUUCUCAACUGUUAAACUAAUAGUAAUAUACUAUGCAUUAAUAUAUAGAAUAUAGAAUAAUGGUAUAUAUUAUACAAUAAAUCAUAUACCAUAAUACAUGUAAUAUCUAAUAAUAUAUGUUAUCACCUUUGUUUUUAUUACUAUUAUUCUACUUCCUAUGGCUAUUCCUAUGGCAACUGGAUGGGAGUAAGAAAUAUCAGAAGGGACAAGAUGGGAAAGCUUCAUAAAAUAAUGGAAAAAGCAUGGCAAAAAUUGAGAGAGAGGAUGAGAACUCAAAAGGACAGAGAGAGAAAGACGGAACUCUCUUGAGAGACUGCCUCUGGUGAUAUGGAAUCACUGUGCACUGUUACUCCACAUCACCUGGAACUACAGCAAAACAAGAAAGCCCAAAUUAAAUGCAGAAAUCACCUGUUUGAAGGCAGUGGUGGGCUGUCAAGGCUAAGAGAACCGGAGGGGCUAAGACUUGAGAGAGCAGAGAGGUGAGCUGAUGGCAGAGCCGAGAAUCUGAGGACAGAGAAGCCAGAGAACUUCUAAAAGAGACCUGAAGGGUUUCAAACACACAGUUGGCUUUCCCUUCAAAGCAUGUGCUGAAUUGGGGGUAUAUAAGGAGUAGAGGUUGAAAAACAGAAGUAGAAGGCCUCUGAAAAUCAUCAGAGUUUCUGGCAGUCUCAGGAGAUGAAAAUAGGAACUCAGGACCUGCCAAGGAAGGGAUCCCGGUGAAGACACCAGGUUCUCCGUUGGGCCAAGGAUAGACAGUAACCUGGCCUCACUGCCACCCCAAAAACUAAAUAAAUCAAGAUGGAUCAUGACCUAAAUGCAAAAGAUAAAACAAUAAAACUCCUAAAGAAAACAGGAAAAGAUCUUCAUAAUCUUGGAGUGAAAUUUCUUUUUUUUCCUCCCAGUUUUAAA